Non-coding RNA from [Candida] anglica, 72 nucleotides. Lineage: Eukaryota; Fungi; Ascomycota; Pichiomycetes; Serinales; Debaryomycetaceae. The record is from the annotation of a GenBank genome assembly.
GCCUCAAUAGCUUAAUCGGUAGAGCAUUCGCUUGAAGCGCGACUGGUCUGAGUUCAACUCUCAGUUCUGGCA